RNAcentral lists this unclassified non-coding RNA (248 nucleotides) under Hevea brasiliensis (rubber tree). The record is from RNAcentral. Lineage: Eukaryota; Viridiplantae; Streptophyta; Magnoliopsida; Malpighiales; Euphorbiaceae.
ACCUUCCGAUCUUCCAUACUCCAAACUUGAACUAAAUCAUCUUCACCUCCAGUCAAAAUGUAUUUGCCAUCCAUGCUCCAAGCACAACAUAGUAGAGCACCGUAAUAACUUUUCCCACCACAUACAAGUUGUUCCCUGGAAUAGUCAAAAACUCGUAAAUAACCGUCUCUUCCAACAGUUGCUAAGUAGGCCCCAUCUGUUGAGAAAGUGAUGCUAUUAAUUGAACCUUGGCAAAUAUGCCAUCUGGC